Molecule: long non-coding RNA, 912 nt
Organism: Tachysurus vachellii
Lineage: Eukaryota; Metazoa; Chordata; Actinopteri; Siluriformes; Bagridae
Exons: 3
Source: RefSeq, a predicted model, not a curated record
GCACGCGGCUGCAGCUCCAACUACAUUUCCAUCUGGCGCGCUUCACUGUGCCUGAUCCUGCGCACACAAGGACAAGAGAAGCAUCAUCCCGCGGUACUCAUUCUGUCCCACCCGGUCUCGGACGGACCCUGUAGCACACUGCAAGGACAUUAAAGCGGUUGUGGACAGCAGUAACCCUGCUGCUUGGCUAAACUUUCUACUUGGUGCGCUUUUCCAUUUACACAGCGCAUCUCACGGGUUCGGACCCGGUGACUCAUCCGUCACUUUCCGUCAUCAGUCCAUCACGGACUGCUCGGCUGCGCCAUGUCUCCUUUCCGGCGGUCACUGCUCUAACCGGGACCGGGACACCCCCUUUGACCGUCCUAUCCUCUUUAACACUCAAACUCGAGACGUUAAACCUGUGCGCAGUCGAAGAAAGCAGUAUGAUGCGCGUUUUUGCGGCUUUUCCUCGUGGUUGUCCCGUUACCUGAUGUUACGCAGCAGGUCCUCAACCGGCCGUGGAGCCUUAGACUAGAAUAUUUCACGCGUCUGUGCUUUUUUUUUUUGUUUGUUUGUUUGUUUGUUUGUUUUGUUUUUUUCUCUCAAAUAGACUGAUUGACCUGGAAAAAAGCCAUAAGAUUUCAUUCCAUCAGGAGCCGGACAUCUGCUGCAGAGCUGCAUAAAGACAGAUGUUCAUUUGCAUCAAGCAGCACCAGGAAUGUCAAAGCUGAGGACCUUGUGCUUUGCAAUGUCUCACUAACAUUACACUAUGCAAUCUUUUGCCAUAUUAACCUCAAGAAAGAGAAAAAAAUGAGAAAAAAUAACUGUUUAUAGCUGCUCUAAUGUGUGUGAUAACAGAAAUGUAUCUUGUUUCAUGGACGUUCUACAUCAAACAUAACUUUAAACAAAUUAAAAAAGGCCCAUGGUGCCUUU